This 439-nucleotide ribosomal RNA is filed under the name uncultured bacterium. Its description in RNAcentral is "partial 16S ribosomal RNA". It matches the Rfam family "Bacterial small subunit ribosomal RNA", at positions 339 to 795 of the family's 1533-position model. The record is from RNAcentral.
CUACGGGUGGCUGCAGUGAGGAAUAUUGCACAAUGGGGGGAACCCUGAUGCAGCAACGCCGCGUGGAGGAUGACGCAUUUCGGUGUGUAAACUCCUUUUAUAUGUCAAGAAAAUGACGGUAGCAUAUGAAUAAGCACCGGCUAACUCCGUGCCAGCAGCCGCGGUAAUACGGAGGGUGCAAGCGUUACUCGGAAUCACUGGGCGUAAAGGACGCGUAGGCGGGUUGGAAAGUCAGGUGUGAAAUCCUACAGCUUAACUGUAGAACUGCACUUGAAACUUCUAAUCUAGAGUAUGGGAGGGGGAGAUGGAAUUAGUGGUGUAGGGGUAAAAUCCGUAGAUAUCACUAGGAAUACCUAAUGCCGAGGCGAGCUCCAGGAGCAUUACUGACACAAACGAGUGAAUGCGUGGGGACCUACCAGGAUUAGAUACCCUUGUAGUC